RNAcentral lists this ribosomal RNA (327 nucleotides) under uncultured eukaryote. Its description in RNAcentral is "partial 18S ribosomal RNA". It matches the Rfam family "Eukaryotic small subunit ribosomal RNA", at positions 1470 to 1796 of the family's 1831-position model. The record is from RNAcentral.
CCCUUAGAUGUCCUGGGCCGCACGCGCGUUACACUGAUGCAUUCAACGAGCUUAUAACCUUGGCCGAAAGGUCUGGGUAAUCUCCAAAUUUCGUCGUGAUGGGGAUAGAUUAUUGCAAUUAUUAAUCUUCAACGAGGAAUGCCUAGUAAGCGCAAGUCAUCAGCUUGCGUUGAUUACGUCCCUGCCCUUUGUACACACCGCCCGUCGCUCCUACCGAUUGAAUGGUCCGGUGAAGCGUUCGGACCGUGGCCUUUGGACGGUUCGCCGUCUGUUGGCUGCGGGAAGUUCGUUAAACCUUAUCAUUUAGAGGAAGGAGAAGUCGUAACA